GCAUAUCAAUAAGCGCAGGAAAAGAAACCAACAGGGAUUGCCUCAGUAACGGCGAGUGAAGCGGCAACAGCUCAAAUUUGAAAUCUGGCCUCUCGGGGUCCGAGUUGUAAUUUGUAGAGGAUGUUUCGGGUACCGCCUCGGUUUAAAUUUCUUGGAACAGAAUGUCAAAGAGGGUGAGAAUCCCGUCUUGGACCGGCGGUAGGGCCUAUGUGAAACUCCUUCGACGAGUCGAGUUGUUUGGGAAUGCAGCUCAAAAUGGGUGGUAAAUUUCAUCUAAAGCUAAAUAUUGGCCAGAGACCGAUAGCGCACAAGUAGAGUGAUCGAAAGAUGAAAAGCACUUUGAAAAGAGAGUUAAACAGUAUGUGAAAUUGUUGAAAGGGAAGCGCUUGCAACCAGACUUGAGCGCGGCGGUUCCCCCUUGCUUCUGCUUGGGUUACUCCGCCGUGUCCAGGCCAACAUCGGUUCUGGGGGUCGGUCAAAGGCCUUGGGAAUGUAUCUACCCACGGGUAGACUUAUAGACCAGGGUGUCAUGCGACCUCCCGGGACCGAGGAACGCGCUUCGGCUCGGAUGUUGGCGUAAUGGUUGUCAGCGACCCGUCUUGAAACACGGACCAAGGAGUCUAACAUCUAUGCGAGUGUUUGGGUGUCAAACCCGGAACGCGGAAUGAAAGUGAACGGAGGUAGGAAGCUUCGGCUGCACUAUCGACCGAUCCUGAAGUUUACGGAUGGAUUUGAGUAAGAGCAUAGCUGUUGGGACCCGAAAGAUGGUGAACUAUGCCUGAAUAGGGUGAAGCCAGAGGAAACUCUGGUGGAGGCUCGCAGCGGUUCUGACGUGCAAAUCGAUCGUCAAAUUUAGGUAUAGGGGCGAAAGACUAAUCGAACCAUCUGGUAGCUUG
Molecule: ribosomal RNA, 896 nt
Filed under: Cladophialophora immunda
Lineage: Eukaryota; Fungi; Ascomycota; Eurotiomycetes; Chaetothyriales; Herpotrichiellaceae
Description: LSU rRNA
Rfam family: Eukaryotic large subunit ribosomal RNA
Source: RNAcentral